UCAGCCAGCUUGUUAGUACACCCAUCACAAUGAAAUUCACUUGGAACUGGCUGGAUCUAGGCACAGUGAAUCACACACACCCGGAUGAAGAUGCUUACAAGAUUGACACUGAUGGUUUCCCGAUACCAUACAGUGACUUCCCAUUCCUUCUGGACAUCCUGUCCUCCAAAAAGUGCGAUAUUGCUGAGAGCUUCAGAUCUAG
RNAcentral lists this long non-coding RNA (202 nucleotides) under Coccomyxa subellipsoidea. RNAcentral's name for it is "long non-coding RNA (CSUB_LNC000506)". The record is from RNAcentral. Lineage: Eukaryota; Viridiplantae; Chlorophyta; Trebouxiophyceae; Coccomyxaceae.